Molecule: long non-coding RNA, 528 nt
Organism: Candoia aspera
Lineage: Eukaryota; Metazoa; Chordata; Lepidosauria; Squamata; Candoiidae
Exons: 4
Source: RefSeq, a predicted model, not a curated record
UUUCCGUCUGUGAACAUUGAACUUCUACUUUAUCCAUCAGCCAUGAAGAUCUAUCACCUUUUCGUCUGGGCUCUCAUUCUGAAAGGUGUAGUUGGUCCAGAUCCUGCCGGAGGUCAACGUGAUUGUCAAUCUCGUCUUAACGGUUUCUGUUAUCCUAAACACCUUUCCUGUCCUGAUUGUUUUGCUCCAUAUGGACACUGUGAAUUUGACCUCCAGUGCUGUGCCAAAAUAUGGUGGCAUCCUGAGUGCGAAGGUGCAACUUCACCAGCUGAAAGUUUUUUUCCUAAAACAACAACACCUUCACAAAACAUUUUUGACACAACUGAGGAGCCAAAAUAAGCUGUUGUGAUAGUCAUUCAGUUCCUGUUAAGUAAAAACAACUGGGUAUCCUUUGACAGUUGGUGGAGCACUUGGAGAUUACCUAUUGUAAAUUCUCUAAAAUGUUGAUUCUUAUGGGCUAAUAGAUUGCUAAUAAAAAGCUGUGGUGUUCUCAUUUGCUGAAGCUGAUUUUCAAUAGAACUGAUACUU